RNAcentral lists this long non-coding RNA (4228 nucleotides) under Podarcis lilfordi (Lilford's wall lizard). The record is from RNAcentral. Lineage: Eukaryota; Metazoa; Chordata; Lepidosauria; Squamata; Lacertidae.
UUCCUCCUCCAAAACCUUGCACUGGCUACAAAUAAUGAGACGUUUCAUUGGUAACGUCUGAACAACAUCAUCACAUGUAUUUUGCUCUUUCUUCAAGGAGCCCUGUCAACAUGUUCAUUGUGAAUUGAUCCCAAUUAGUUUGCACUGCAGGGAGAGUAGAUGAUGUUGGCUACUUAACAAGCGUUCAUCCUGAUUUGUUUGUAGGAGAGAUUAGAUGAUGUUUGUAUUAAAGCAAGUGUUAUUCCACACUUUCAAGUGCCUUUUCCCCAUCACUUUUCUUACUGCAAAAUGUCCAAUCUUUUUGGCAAGAGGGUGUGUUGUGCAAUACCCCUCAAUUCAGGGGUGUACUUACCUAAGGGUAGGUCAGGUUGGCCCUCGCCAAAGUGACAGGUCCAGUGUUUGCAAAAUUGGGACUCUCCACUCUGGCCUGAAGUGGCUAUGAGCCCACCUGCCUAUCCACAGACUCCUUGGGCUCCUCCUCCACUGCUCUGGGCAGCCAGGUGAGGCACACUGCCUUCUCUGUGUGACUUGGCAGAGGAAUCCUGUCAUUGGCAUGGGCUGUCACAAGGGAUUGGGGAGGGGACAGACACACCAAUACAUCUCCUUGACAAGGGCGCAAGGGAGCCUAUGUACAUCUCUGCCCCAAUCAACUGUAAUGACAAAACCUUAAUUUUCCAGUAUGUAACAGAAUAGUGAUGAUCAGAAGUGCCCUUGUUUUAUUAAUUUAUCAUGUUUGGAGUGGGUCACUCCCACUCUGAUUGGAUCUUUUAUACUUGUUUUCAUUUUUGCCCUAAGAAGUACUGUGAUCCACCUCUUUUUUGCUUUGCCGGAACUUCUCCCACUUCUGUCUGCAUCCAUGUAUCUGCCAAGAGAGGAUAGCACUUCAUCUGAUUAAAUGCCACAGGACUCAUGUUUGGUUUUACUUCAAGGGUGCCUGCAAACUGUCACUGUGUUGUAGGAUGGAUUCAAGCACAAUUUGGGUUUGCACACCUAAAGCGGAUUAAGUUGCCCUGUUGUCCUAGUGCAAUAAAUCUACUUAAAGACAAACAAGCCUUUUGUGGAUAGGAAAGUGUGGAAUGAUCAGGAUGAAUGCUCAAUAAACAGGUUGUCUGGAGGAGCCCCAGUAGACUAAAAUAGCUGCUACCUGGAAGUGGUUCACAGUUCAACAGUAUUCUCAAAUAUGCAAUGGGGCAGCUUAUUUGUGUUUCACCACUGCCCCCUGCUGGACAUAACCAGAGCACUUUCUUUCACAGAAAUAGCAAGCAAGUUUGAGCCGAACUAGGUGUUGCCUUAUAAACACAGGCUGCAAAGCCUAAACAGGCUUUAAGGAAGAAGAGGCAGAAAAGCAGUUUUUAGGAGGCAGAGUUAAGAAGCGGAGAAAGUAGCACAGCUUCCAUCUCCUGCACUAUAUCUUAGUGCAGCUGAGACAUGUGAGAAUUUGUAAGUGGUAUAGAUUGCAAGCUAAAUCCCCCACCCCAGACCUCUGUGUUCUCUCCUGAAGGCUUCUAGGAGGCUGCAGAUAGCUGCCUGAGCAGGCCAGUGUCUCCCUCCCUCCCUGUGUCACACUCACACAAACAAACACUGCAGGGCAGGCAUGGGGAACCUUCUGCAGCCUGUGGUCUUCAUUCCCUUCCGCACAAGCUUCCAGGGGCCACAUGCCUGGUGUGAGGGAGACAGAGACACUUUCAGUAGCACUAUUACGGACCAGGUUGUGUUUGCUUAGGGGAAGCACUUUCAAAAGGUGGUGGUGGAGGAGGAGUUUGGUUUUGAUAUCCCGCCUUUCACUCCCCUUAAGGAGUCUCAAAGCGGCUAACAUUCUCCUUUCUCUUCGUCCCCCACAACAAACACUCUGUGAGGUGAGUGGGGCUGAGAGACUUCAGAGAAGUGUGACUAGCCCAAGGUCACCCAGCAGCUGCAUGUGGAGGAGUGGGGACGCGAACCCGGUUCACCAGAUUACGAGUCCACCACUCCUAACCAUACACCACACUGGUGAAAGCAGGUGUGUGCUUCUAAGGCCAUAAUAAGGGCUGGACAUUGUCAGGUGCCUGCCAAAGUCUACACCCCUGCAGAGGGGACUCAUUGUUGAUUCCUAGAGUCUCCUCCUUUUUGCUGUCACUGCCUGUUUGUCUACCAUCUCUAAGUAUGCAGGAAGUGCCUGGAGGGAAAAGAUGGGUCAUCCUCCUCCACUCAACUUGUGCUUUCCCUCUGGGUGAUGAGCUGUAGACCCAUAGAGAGAGAAUGAACAAAUGACCAUUGGCAAUGUGAGUGAGAGAGAGGAGAAUUGAGAAAGGUGGUGUAUUGUGAGCAUCCACCCCCACCCCCCAAAAUCUGAGGUUGGUACUAGGUUCCUGUCAUGUUUCCAGCUAGGUAAGAGGUUCCUUUAGACCAGGAGUGGGCAACCUGUGGCCUUUCAGUUGUUGCUGAACCUCAAGUCUUAUUGGCCCCAGCCAGCAUGGCCAAUAGCCAGGGAUGGUGGGAGAAGUUCUAUUCCUACAACAUCUGGAGGGCUGUAGGUUCCCUACCCCUGCUCUAGGCUUCUGGGUGUACAUAGCUCCCCCUGGAUGAAUGAAAUAGCUUGCAUUUCUAUUGUGCAUUUCUCCUGGGAUUUUCAAAGAGGGUUUACAUUUCCCCUACCAUAUAUAAGCAAAGCCUCGAGGCUGGAACAGGAUCCCAUCAAGUUGCCUCUUGUGCAGGGCACGAUGUGUUCUUUUCUGCCCCUGUGCUUCAUUUUCGGUGGAACUUUUCCUUAGGAGCACCCGUAUGUCUUGUGUCUUCUUCUCAUUUUUUAUAAUCAAGAACCCCCAAAAAGGAACCAGAACAAGUGCUAUUCCUUUUCCCCCUCUUUUUGCAUUUUACCAUGAAUAUAUUUAAGAGUAGGUCUUUGAACAUUAUCACACACACAAACACAGAAACCUGAAAUGAUGUCCAUUAACCUGAGAAUGGGACAAAAGGGGAUGAAAUCAUGAAAGCAAAGGGAGGGGCAGAAGCAGUCUGUUUUCCAGGACAAUUGCUAUUUUCUUGACUUUAGCUACCAUCUCAGUUUUUCCGGCAGGUUUUCUGGUGUCCGUCAUAUCCUUCUUGUACACUGCUUAGAAAUUAUGCAAUUAAAUGGUAUAUAACUUAUUGAAAUAAAGAAUCUCUGUAUGCCAUUUGAAGUGCAUUUCCAUGCUGAACAGGAGCCAUCAAUAUGACUUUUAGGGUUCAGAGGUCAAAAUGCCAAUAACACAUGAGGUUCAUGUCACUAUUUGAGCCUCUGGUGGAUUUCUCUUCCACAUGGAAACAGAGGAAAGGCAUUUGUAAAUGCAAAUGAACAUUCUGGCCAAUGUAGCUUUAACUUUUUAAAGCACAAGCCUCUUUAAGUUUCAUGUGUGCCCUGUUGAUAAUGGUAACCAUUUAGUGUCUCUCUUGGGUAGUUUGGGUACGAGAUUGUGUGAGACGACACAGCUGUACUGAUAAAUUUAUUUAUUAAAUUUGUAUACCGCUCUGAGAUCUGCAGGUAUAGGGUGGUAUACAAAUGUAAUAAAUAAAAAUAUGUGUUUGGCCACAGCUCCCACCCGCAAACUCUACAGUGUGUUCAAAGCAACAGAUCCUGAUGUUAUACAUGUUAGUUCCCUAUUUUAACUGCUGGUUCUAAGUAUGUUUUAAGUAUUGUUUUUAACUAGUUUAUAUUACUUGUAUUAUAUAAUGAUGUUCUUAGAUGUUGGAAGUGACCUUGAAUCCCAACUUGGGAGAAAGGUGGGAUAUAAAUACAUUUAAUAAUGAUGAUGAUGAUAAUAAUGAUAUUGAUAGUUACUUAGAGUGGGCAAAGAAUGAAUUUCAUUGAAUAUUUCAUUUCCAUUAUAUUGCCUCACUAUUUUUUAAAAAUGAAACUUUAUACAUUGACAACUUUUACCACACUUGUAUUUUGGUGCUGCCUACAUGGAAGCAGCAACUCUUGUGUGUGUGUUCAGCAUUAAAGGAUUUGGUUUGGGGGCAAAGAGGAAGCCCAGCUGGGCUGAGAAUUAGGCUGGGGCUCAUAGAGGGGUGUUUGAUGCCUAGACUAGUUUGUGAGAUCAGAGACCUCAGGCUGAAAUUCUUGGAGCUUGGGGAACACCAUGCCACAUCUUUUCAAAUAUUUGUGUCCUCCUGCUUUAAUAUUAAUUCCUGUGGGUUAAGGAAGUAUCUGCAGAACUGCAUUUUGAAUAGGGAUGAGCCAAAACUUGGUUUUGUCAGCACUUCGGGUAAUAGC